AUGCGGAAAAAUUGGGAAGAGGUUGGGGGGGACGGGGAGGGAGGAAAAAAGGCAGAAGUAAAAAAAAUAAAAAUUAAAAAAAAAAAACGAGGGUGGGAGGAACCGAGCCUUCUCCGGGUGCACGAGGGAGCGGGAGGGGAUAACCGCGAGCAGCGGGCUCCGCGCCGCGCCGCAGCUAGCGAGGUGCUUGCGGCCGCAGCAGCCGGCGGGGAGGCGCGGCCGCGGCGCUCAGCGGGGCUCAGCCCGGCAGCGGGCGGCGCGCAUUCACCGGGCGUCCCGCGCGGAGCCCCCGGCACGGCAUGCACCGGGCGCCGCGGGGUGGUGGCGGCGCGGAGCGGGGCGCGGAGCGAGGUCUUCCCGCGAGCUGAGGGGUCCCGGCGCGGUGCGAGCGGGCCGGCGGCGGGGAGAGGGGCGAGGAGCUGCGGUGCGUCUCAGCAGAAAGUUUGUGCCUUCCUUCCCCGCUCGAAUGCCAAACCAACAAUGAGGGAAAAAAAAAAAAAUAAUAAAAUAAAAAGAAGGGGGGUGGGGGGGGGGAAGAAAAAGGAGGGGGGAAGGGGGAAGGGAGCAAAACCCCUGAGGAGUUUGUUCGCUGCGCUGGUGGAGUUGGGGAGCCUGUUCUGCAGCACAGUGUGUCUUGAAGGAGACUUUGUGGAGUGGUUUUCUCGUCCUUCCUGUUCCUGGGCGGUGGAUGCACCAAGGGCUGAGCAACAGCAAAGGCGGAAAAAAAAAAAAAAAAACAAGGGGAGGGAAACAGAAGGGGAAGGAAAAAAAAAAAAAGCGCGGCCAAUCCAAGAAAUAUUGCGGCGUGGAAACCAAGGAGAUGGAAAUAAAAACUGUUUUAUGAGAGGGCGUGGAAAAAAGCGAAGCCCCGGAGAAGUGCAGAAGCAGGGCCGAGCCGGGCGCUCCGGCGCGGGGGCUCCGGCUGCCGCCUCCCGGAGCGCAGCGGUGAUAGCGCAGAGUCCGGUCCCGGGAACAUCAACUUCUGCGGAAGGACGGCACCGUGAGCGGCGCGGGGGAGAGAGAAGCGCCCGCCCCUCCGAGGAUUACAUACGGAGAUCGGGGAAAAGACGCGGCUCCGCGCGGUCCUGCCCGCAGCUGCUGCCCGACGCCCUCCGAAGCAGCAGCAGCAGCAAGGAGAAAAACGCACCGCGCCGGCAGGCAAAUAAAUAA
RNAcentral lists this long non-coding RNA (1170 nucleotides) under Phasianus colchicus (ring-necked pheasant). RNAcentral's name for it is "lncRNA (ENSPCLG00000019529.1)". The record is from RNAcentral. Lineage: Eukaryota; Metazoa; Chordata; Aves; Galliformes; Phasianidae.